AUGACGUUGACUUGCUCAGAAAUUUGUCGCCCUCUAGUGGCAGCUGAUUUUUGGUUCGAUGGAGCAAGCUGAGUUUGUUUGUUACCGAAUGUUUUGAUUUGUCAAAAAUCGUAUUCUGAGGGAUAUUCAGUUCACAAAAGGGCACAGAGGUCAGUAUAUUUAUAUAUAUGAUGUUUGCUUGCAAUUAAGUGCUGUUAUGUAAAGGAUUAUGAAGAUUAAUUUGGAUAUAAAGCCAAGUCUGGCUGUAUGUAGCGAUACGUUCAUGUACACGUGUAAUGUGCGACUGUGUAGGAAUUUACGUAGAACGGUAAAUUCAUUUAUGAAAUAUUGGAUAAAGUGAAGAGUAAUGACUGAUAUAUAUAUGACUUAUGACUGUAUGAGACAGGUUUCAUUUAUCAUAGUUAUGAAAGUACUUGUAUUAGGGUAAUUUAGGACAAAGAUAAAUGAAGUUUACAAGGAAGGGUCUGGAAGGAUCUACACUUUCUACUUACAUAGAAAGGCAUAUGUGGGGCAAUGAAAAGUCAUUAUUCUUUCGUUAUUGGAGUUGGAUUCAAUUUAGUUAGGCUGUCAAGUUACAAGGAGCCAUGGAAGCCUUAUAAAUUGUAUGACAUAAUGAUUAUAACGAUUGGCAAGGGUUUAUAGCCAAGAUUAUUUGCGUAGAUGAUUCUGUGAUCGAUCGAAACUGUAAUCGAUAUAAAUGCUCAUUUCCUUAUUUGGUAACGUAUUGAAGCAUUGCAGUUGUGGUUAGAUUCAUUUGCAUAUUUACUUAUUAUGCUUGCAAUUUUUGUCUUUGUCAUACAGUUUUCACGGAGUUACAUGGAUGGAUACGGAGACGUAAAAUAAAGAUUGACAACUCCCGUAAAAGCUUGUGUCUGACUGAAUUUAUUGGGUUUUCGUGAUCGACAACAGUUACAGUGAAAACUCUUCCACAGUGAAUCCCUACCAGAAGAUUCCUUGUUUCUGCCGAGACUGGGAAGCUACAGAGACACCUGUUAAUCAUGACUGAAGAACAACCUGCUCAGCAGAAGCGACAGUCAGUCCCUACAGAAAGGAGCAUCGAAUACCAGCUCGAUCUGAAGACUAAGAACUUCAGAAGCAGUGUGACCUCCUGGCGACGUAAGGCCAACAAGCUAAGAGCUGCACUAAUAGAUGAUGUUGGUUUUUCUGACGUCAAGGCUCUUCGAGAUGGGUUACAAGUACUGAUGGACACUGUCAUCAAUGGGCAGGAGAACCUCGCUGAGUUACGAUUGUCCUCCGAGAUAGCUGAUGAUAGUGAGGACAAAUUAGAGGAAGUUGAGAAAGAACACAGUUCAAUCAUGAAAAGCACUCUUGAAAGGAUGAUUGUUCUAAAGGAAGAUGAAAGAAGCGAUGAAGCAUCUUUGAGGCAGGCAGUCACUCCAGACGAAUCAUCACCUGUUGACCCACCUGUUGACCCACCUGUUCGCGAGACUCCACCCACUGAUCCUUUGAUUCUCUUUGCAGAACAGUUGAGAGCCUCAAGAUUGCCUCUACCUGAACCGACCGCAUUUGAUGGCGAUCCCCUCUUGUAUCCAGGUUGGAAACACGCCUUCGACGUUUUAAUUGAUCGCAGUGGCAUCACGCCUAUGGACAGGUUCUUCUACCUUGAAAAGUACCUGAAGGGUCAACCCCUAGAACUAGUGAAAGGAUAUGCUUUAAUCGACAACGAAAUAGCAUAUCAUGAUGCCAGAAAGGCUUUGGAAGAACGUUACGGAAAUUCCUUUGUCAUAGCUAAAGCCUUUCGAGACAAGAUAGAGAGGUGGCCUCGAAUAGCCACAAAGGAUGCACCUGGUUUGAGGAAGUUCUCUGAUUUCCUACGGCAGUGUGUAACAGCAAUGGACAAAAUUCAGAACCUCCAUCAUCUGAAUGACGACAGAGAAAUUCGUAAGAUCCUGACCAAGUUACCUGAAUGGUUAGUUGUACGCUGGUCCAGGAAGGCCUAUCACUGGGCAGACAGCUAUGGCGGCUUUCCCCCUUUCAAGCUCUUUGCCGGUUUCAUCGAGGAGGAGUCAAAGAUUGCUUGUUGUCCCAUCACCUCUGUUUAUGGAUUGAGGGAAUUAAGAUACGAGAGAGUAAAUGCAGCAGCAUCAGAAGUCAGAACAUUAGCAACUGAUGCUACUAGCAGUAGGAAUCAGAAAGGAAUGGGUGAUGGAAAGCAGCAAUGGACUGUAUCCUGCUUGCUCUGCAAGAAGUCCCACUCCUUAGAAGAGUGCCCUACCUUUUCAACAUGGGAGAUGGCAGAGAAAAAGAAAUUUAUCGUUGAAAAGGGCUUGUGCUAUGGGUGUCUAAAGGUUGGCCAUCGAUCAAAUGAAUGCAAGAAGAGAAGCACUUGUAAGGAGUGUAAAAGGAGACACCCAACAGCACUCCACGUUAAAGACUGGGUAAAGGUUAAUUCUUUAAAUGAAUCAUCAAAUGAAGAUACAACCCAAGACGAAGUGAGAUCAUCAAGCACACACACUUCAAAACGAAGCAAUGGUAAAGAAACUCUCAAAAGCUCAAUGAUAGUUCCAGUGUGGUUGUCACACCAUUCUGCUAUCGAGCCAAGACUUGUUUACGCACUCUUGGACACACAAUCAGAUACUACUUUCAUCUUGGAUGAAACCAAGCAAGCAAUGGGACUGAGAGGUACCUCAGUUAACUUACGACUCUCAACGAUGUCAGCAGUGAAUGAGAAAGUAUCUAGCAUCAAAGUAGAGGAACUGGAAGUUACAUCUUACGAUGGCAAAAACAAGAUUUGUUUGCCUCCAGCCUUCACGAGAAAGAUCAUACCUGCAAAUCGGAACCAUAUUCCCACGUCGGAUAUGGCAGCAUCCAUUCCCCAUCUGAGUAAGCUACAGUAUGAGGUUCCUGCAGAACAGGGAUGUGAGAUAGGACUACUGAUUGGUUAUGACUGUUCUAAGGCUCUUAUGCCUCGUGAUGUGAUACCUUCGUCAACCAGUGAUGGACGAUACGGUGUUCGCACAGAUCUUGGAUGGAGCAUCGUUGGUAUGUUUGACGAGAAUUAUGAUGGCUACAUCAACGACCCUAUUGGAGUGAGCCACAGAGUAAAGGUCUGCAUGGUCCCAGAGGACUUGCAAGGGGUCCAAGGUCAUGAGGAAGUCUCUUUCUCUCAUCGUCGACUAGUGAAGGAAGAGAUUGCCCCAACUCAAGUAGUGAAGCUUCUCGAGGCGGACUUCAUGCAAGGCACAGAGAGUAAACCUUACUCGCAGAACGACGUUAAGUUUCUCAAACUGGUGGAAAAGACGAAUAUGUGCAAUAAUAACCAGUAUCCUGUCAUUAAGCCUAUGGCUACUGAGAUGCUCACUCAAGCUGAAAAGGAAAUUCUGAAGCAUGUUCAGAAUGAGGACUUUCCAGAUGGAAUUCCAGAUGAAAUUCGUCAACUCCGAUGUGACAGAGGGACCAACAUUGUUGGCGCUGAAGCAGAGCUCAAGAAAGCUUUGAAGGAGAUGAACCAUGAUCCAGUGAAGAGUCAUCUCUUGAAAGAAGGAUGUGACUAUAUCAAGUUCAACUUUAACCUUCCAGCUGCAAGCCGUAUGGGAGGGGUCUGGGAGCGCCAAGUGUUGGAAGCGUUACUUCAACAGCAUGGUAGACAGUUAGAUGAUGAAGCUUUAUGCACCCUGAUGUGUGAAGUGAUGGCCAUUGUUAACAGCCGCCCUCUCACCGUGGACUUCAUCAAUGAUGGAACUUCAACAGAACCGCUUACUCUGAAUCACCUACUUACGCAAAAGUCGAAGGUGAUACUCCCACCAUCUGGCAACUUUCUGCGACAAGACGUGUAUCUGCAUAAGUCCUGGAGAAGAGUGCAACAUCUUGCGAAUCAAUUUUGGUGUCGUUGGCGUCAGAAGUGGACCCGUCUAGAACGCGAAAUGAGAGUCGGAGACUUGGUCGUUGUUAAGGAUAACAAUACUCCUAGAAACGCAUGGCCAAUGGAUAGGAUCGCUGAAACUUAUCCCUCGGAUGAUAAGCAUGUUCGUAAGGUUAAGAUCGCAAUGGGUGAACAGAAACUGAAUGCAGUAGGAAAGCGAACUACCCCAUGUUCUUACCUUGAGCGUCCGAUUCAUAAACUAAUAUUACUUGUCCCACAGGAAGACCAGGAGUAAUUCCCGGACAAGGAGCCAUAGCGUAACUUUGCGAAGAUUAUUUUUAAUUUCACUCGUUUAAGGGAAAUUUAUGACCUGAAGUCAUGUUUGUAUCAUAUAUGGAUGAAGAUGACAUUGAGUCAUUAAAAUAUGAUCCAUGAACUCCUGAAUUUAUUUGAACUGGACCAAAUGAAGGUCUGAACUCAGAGACUAGAGACUCACAUUUUCUUUGGGUCUGAACUCAAAGACUAAUAUCUUGUACAUUUGAGACUGAAUUGAGAGACUAGUACUUUUUACUUUGAUCUGGGUCUUAAUUUAAAGACUAGGGUUUGGUACGAUUUGUGUCUGACAUCCAAAAUUAAGCUAUGCGCAAUGUUGGGCCUGACUUUAAAAAUGGUCCAUUUUGCAUGAAGGGUCUGUAGGAAAGACUAAGACUAAUUUAUGCAUGAUAUUGUUUUUUGUCUGGUUUUGAAUUACGGUAACUGGAAAUUUUUUAUUUCAGUUUAGGCUUGACAAGAAGUCUGAAAGUAAAGACUAGAAAUGUAUUGCUUUGAAGAAACCCUUAGUAUGAUUUUGAUUUCAGAAUCAAUCGGGAAUGCAAUUAUUUGUCAUGGUUUAGAGUUGUAAAUUCUUCUGCGCACUGAAGGAGUAGAAUUUCUGGAUAGUUUGCAUUCAGUAAGUUUAUCAUACCCGGUCAAGUCAACGGCAAAUUAUUUAUGCAGGUUGAUGCUAACUUUUGAGUAUUUCAAUUUGAUUUGAAGGGAGUACAGGUAUAGUGUCCAGAAAUCGGAAGAAUUCAAGUGUUUUUUUUUUUUUUUUUUGGCCUAUGAAAAUGACAAUUGGUCAAUAAGUUGUUUUUGUCAUUUUCAAUGUUCACUUGUGUGUAUAAGGAAGUCAUAGUUUUUUCAUGACUACAGGGCAAUCAGUGAAUUUACACCAGUUCGGAUCUAUAAGAAUUUGUAAAUGUGCUUGUGCUCAUUUAAAACGGUUUGAUAGGAAUUUAAUACUUACAUGUUAUUUCUUGAUAAUUGGUGACAUAGAUUACAUUCCAUCUGAUAUUCCAGACCAGUGGUCAGAACCUUGUUAUUUUACUUAAAUGUGAAAAAUUACUUGCUGAAUGAUAUUCCACAUAUUAAUUUGCAUACUUUAGCUUGAUGUAAUAUCAUGCAUGUAUAUAAUGUGAAGUACGUACUGUAGAAAUUUUUGAUCUCUGUGGAGUUAUCGGUUAAUAACUGGCAAAGAAAUACCUAUAGAGGGUAAAUUAGUUUCAGUUUUUCAACUGAUUUAAAGGAGCCAUGUAGAUGACGUUGACUUGCUCAGAAAUUUGUCGCCCUCUAGUGGCAGCUGAUUUUUGGUUCGAUGGAGCAAGCUGAGUUUGUUUGUUACCGAAUGUUUUGAUUUGUCAAAAAUCGUAUUCUGAGGGAUAUUCAGUUCACAAAAGGGCACAGAGUUUUCACGGAGUUACAUGGAUGGAUACGGAGACGUAAAAUAAAGAUUGACAACUCCCGUAAAA
Strongylocentrotus purpuratus (purple sea urchin) is the source of this 5610-nucleotide RNA transcript. RefSeq lists it as uncharacterized. Lineage: Eukaryota; Metazoa; Echinodermata; Echinoidea; Camarodonta; Strongylocentrotidae. The record is from RefSeq and is a predicted model, not a curated record. The transcript has 2 exons.